CGUGACCCGGGGGGCGCGGCCGUGGUACGUGAGCUCCGUUCCCAUUGGCCCCGCACCCGGAAGAGCCGCCGGCGCCUGCGCAGUGGGGCCGCCGCCCUGCAUCCCCCUUCCACCGAGGAGAUGGAGGCGGCGGCGCGGCGGCGGCCGCGGGAGCCGGAACGGCAGGAGCGGGAGCGGGACGAUGGUGGGCAGGUGAUGUCCCCAUCCCUGUCGGGACAGUCCUACUGGCUGGACCUGUGGCUCUUCAUCCUCUUCGACCUGGCGCUUUUCCUGCUUAUCUACCUGCUGCCCUGAGGGCGCGGCCCAGGGCCAUUGCCACCGAGGGAAUUCUCACCUAUUUCGCACCUUACGAACACCGGCGGUGGAGAGGAGGACAAUUUGUGCGGGAUAACCAACAGGGAACACGGCUCCACUUGAGCGUGGGUGGAGGAGGCACAUUUCUGUACUGUGCUAUACCGUGGUGGAGCUCUGUGUGCCACAAGUGUCACUGUUGGCUUUGGCCUGUGUCCUGCUCGUGUGUCCUGAGCCGUGCCUUGGAGAUCCCGUACGACACUGACUGUGCUUUGUGAUUAGUGCCUAAAGGUUUGUUGGGCAGACAUGGAAGUGUGCACUGUGUGAAUAAAAUCCACUGAAAGGACACCCUGCAGAGUGGCUGAGAAUAAAACCCAGCUCUUCUGUACACUGAA
This is a long non-coding RNA of Zonotrichia leucophrys gambelii, 686 nucleotides long. RefSeq lists it as uncharacterized. The transcript has 2 exons. Lineage: Eukaryota; Metazoa; Chordata; Aves; Passeriformes; Passerellidae. The record is from RefSeq and is a predicted model, not a curated record.